RNAcentral lists this unclassified non-coding RNA (317 nucleotides) under uncultured fungus. RNAcentral's name for it is "partial contains small subunit ribosomal RNA, internal transcribed spacer 1, and 5.8S ribosomal RNA". The stretch from base 1 to 73 matches the Rfam family "Eukaryotic small subunit ribosomal RNA", at positions 1759 to 1831 of the family's 1831-position model. The record is from RNAcentral. Lineage: Eukaryota; Fungi.
GCAAACUUGGUCAUUUAGAGGAAGUAAAAGUCGUAACAAGGUUUCCGUAGGUGAACCUGCGGAAGGAUCAUUAACGAAAGCAAAAACACUUCUCCAUCUGUCGCUGGCGUGUCUUUUACGGGACUCGCAUGUGCACGUUGGAGUUGUGUCUUUCCACUACACCCUUGUGCACCUCUGCGUGGGCUCUCCCCUUCACCGGGGUUCUCCCGCGUUUCUUUACAAACAUGUAUGGUUUCAGAAUGGCACCUGCGUUUACGCAAUUUAAAACAACUUUCAGCAACGGAUCUCUUGGCUCUCGCAUCGAUGAAGAACGCAGC